This is a long non-coding RNA of Cyprinus carpio (common carp), 851 nucleotides long. Lineage: Eukaryota; Metazoa; Chordata; Actinopteri; Cypriniformes; Cyprinidae. The record is from Ensembl.
AUGUGUUUAUUUAGAGGAAGUGUGCAGAAAGAAGUGGAAGGGUCUGAGGGACACAUAUUUAAAAGAGAGGAGAAAGGAGAUGGAGUGGGUCAGCAGCAGGGUCAGGGAAAAAGUGGAAGUACUCUGCGUUCCUGUCUUUCCCAUGGGAGACAAGCAGGAAUAUGGAGAGGGGGGAUGAGGAGAAUCAGGCCGCAGGGUACGAGCACCCCGAGGACCAGGGCGAGGCAGAAGCAGCAGCCGAAGGGCACUCAGAGACAGGAGAGCCGACUGGUUCUUUUGAUGGCAGUGAGCCUGGGUCCCCUCUGCCAGAACCUGCUGCUGCUUCUGCUUCCACUGCCGGCCCUUCAACAUCUGCUGCUGUCCCCACAGCACCACCAAGAAGAAGAGCUCAGAGAAGGCCUUAUUUGCCUGAAUUGAACCGUUUUAUUGCUCAUCAAGAUCGAAGUCCCUGAAUCGUGUGAUCUAAGCUACAAGCUUUGUUUUCUAGUAAUUACUAUUCAGUAAUCUAAAUACUACAGACACAGAAAAUAUUGUUCUUCCUGAUCAGAAGAUUAAUAAGCCUCCAAAAGGAAUCCCUGUUGCUGCAUCAUGACACUAUACCACAACACUGGUCCAAUCACAAAUAACUGUUUUUACUAUACUAUUGUGAGUGUAUUUGCAAUAGGAUAUAAUUAGAAUGAAUGUACAAAUGUUUGCCAUAAGUAUUCUAGUCUUAACAUAUAAAUAAUAUUUUUAUUUAACAAAUACAAAUUAUGAUUUACUAUGUUGUGCACAGAAUAACACACCAAAACCUCUGGUCAUUGUAUAGAACAUAUAUUUAUACAAAAAAAAUAAAAAAUAAAACACACACA